Molecule: ribosomal RNA, 492 nt
Filed under: uncultured bacterium
Lineage: Bacteria
Description: partial 16S ribosomal RNA
Rfam family: Bacterial small subunit ribosomal RNA
Source: RNAcentral
GGUGAACGCUGGCGGUGGGCCUAACACAUGCAAGUCGAGCGACCGCACAGUAAGAGCUUGCCCCUACGGGUAGCGAGUGACGGGCGGGUGACGCAUGCAUCGGCAUCUACUUUUUCUUGGGGGAUAACGUAGGGCCACUUACGAUAAUACCGCAUACGACCUACCGUUUAAAUCAGGGGUUAUACAGAGCUUGCCGGACUGAAAGAGCCGAUGUCGGAUUAGCUAGUUGGCUGGGUAAAGGACCACCAAGGCGACGAUCCGUAGCUGGUCUGAGAGGAUGAUCAGCCACACUGGAACUGAGACACGGUCCAGACUCCUACGGGAGGCAGCAGUGGGGAAUAUUGGGCAAUGGGCGCAAGCCUGACGCAGCCAUGCCGCGUGAGUGAAGAAGGUCUUCGGAUUGUAAAGCCCUUUUGUUGGGAAAGAAAAGCAGCAUGUUAAUACCCCGCUGUUCUGACGGUACCCAAAGAAUAAGCAACGGCUAACUUCGUG